RNA transcript from Populus nigra (black poplar), 2936 nucleotides. It is a transcript of the gene named methylcrotonoyl-CoA carboxylase subunit alpha, mitochondrial, with no coding region annotated. NCBI's taxonomy places the organism in Eukaryota, Viridiplantae, Streptophyta, Magnoliopsida, Malpighiales, Salicaceae. The record is from RefSeq and is a predicted model, not a curated record. The transcript has 17 exons.
GUUACACGGUCCCAGCUAAGCACCGCAUCAGAUCCAUAUCCCAUCUCACUAUACCAGACACUUCUCUUUCCAAAACUACCCCUUUCUCGUAUUUUUAAUGACCAAAAACACACUCCCUCCACUUACUGCCAUUUUCUUUCACGUUACCAAUCUACUUCCCUCAAUCAAUCAUCAUCUCCACGAGAAAUUUUAACCAUGGCGUCAAUGGCAACCAUCCUCCGUCGAAAACUCCACGAUAACAGACAUUUCCUUAUCCAAACACGACUCUUCUCCCUCGAAUCUUCCUCUCAUGACACCAAAACUACACCGCGCAUAGAGAAAAUAUUGAUUGCAAACAGAGGCGAAAUAGCUUGCAGGAUCAUGCGGACCGCGAAACGCCUAGGGAUUCGAACCGUCGCGGUUUACAGUGACGCGGAUAGAGACUCGCUCCACGUGAAAUCGGCUGACGAGGCUGUCCAUAUCGGUCCGCCUCCGGCUCGGUUGAGUUAUUUGAAUGGCUCGGCGAUUGUCGAGGCCGCGAUUCGUACUGGUGCACAGGCUAUUCACCCGGGUUAUGGUUUCUUAUCCGAGAGUUCUGAUUUCGCUACACUAUGUGAAGACAAAGGUCUGACUUUUGUCGGACCACCAGCAUCGGCAAUCCGGGACAUGGGUGAUAAAAGUGCAUCAAAGAGGAUAAUGGGUGCAGCAGGGGUGCCGCUUGUGCCAGGUUAUCAUGGCAGUGAACAAGAUAUUGAACUUAUGAAGUCAGAAGCAGAUAAGAUUGGAUACCCUAUCUUAAUAAAGCCGACGCAUGGAGGUGGUGGAAAGGGUAUGAGGAUAGUUCAAAGUCCAAAUGAAUUUGUCGACUCUUUUUUGGGAGCACAACGUGAAGCAGCUGCUUCAUUUGGUAUAAACACAAUUCUGCUAGAGAAAUAUAUCACAAAGCCAAGACACAUAGAAGUUCAGAUAUUUGGGGACAAACAUGGCAAUGUACUACAUUUAUAUGAAAGGGACUGCAGCGUACAGAGAAGACAUCAGAAGAUAAUUGAAGAAGCUCCAGCUCCAAAUGUCAUGAACGACUUCCGCUCCCACUUGGGCCAGGCUGCUGUAUCUGCAGCCAAGGCAGUUGGUUACCACAAUGCUGGCACUGUGGAGUUUAUAGUUGACACUGUCUCAGGCCAGUUCUAUUUCAUGGAGAUGAACACCCGCCUUCAGGUUGAGCAUCCUGUGACUGAGAUGAUUGUUGGCCAAGAUCUUGUAGAGUGGCAAAUAUCUGUUGCAAAUGGAGAACCACUACCUAUUAAUCAGUCACAGGUGCCUUUAUUGGGGCAUGCCUUUGAAGCCCGAAUAUAUGCUGAAAAUGUUCCAAAAGGAUUUCUUCCUGCAACUGGAGUUCUUCACCAUUAUCGUCCCGUUCCAGUUUCACCAACAGUUCGGGUUGAGACUGGAGUUGAGCAGGGGGAUACUGUUAGCAUGCACUACGAUCCAAUGAUUGCAAAGCUUGUUGUCUCAGGAGAAAACCGUGCUGCAGCACUAGUCAAACUGAAGGAUUGCUUAUCCCAAUUUCAGGUUGCAGGUGUGCCAACUAAUAUCAAUUUUCUUCAAAAACUUGCUGACCAUAGAGCAUUUGAAAAUGGCAAUGUGGAGACCCACUUUAUUGAACAUUAUAAAGAUGACCUCUUUACUGAUCCUAACAAUUUAACACGUGCAAAGGAAACAUAUGAUAAUGCUAGAUUCAGCGCAACCCUGGUAGCUGCAUGUCUUUGUGAGAAGGAGCAUUCUGCUAUAAAGUCCAGUCUCCCUGGGACCAAUGGGUUGCUCCCCAUAUGGUAUUCUCAUCCCCCUUUUCGAGCCCAUUAUCAAGCUAGUUGUACCAUGGAGCUUGAAUGGGAGAAUGAAUAUGAUGGAAGCAGCUCCAAAUUUUUUACCUUCUCCAUCACUUAUCAGUCAGAUGGGAACUAUCUUAUUGAGACAGAAGAAGUCAAUUCCCCUGGUUUGGAAGUCAAGGCAACACUCCUGCAUGACCAAGAUUUUAGAGUUGAAACUGAUGGUGUGAGCAUGGAUGUUAGUUUAUCUGCAUAUUCCAAGGACAAAAUAAAGCACAUUCAUUUAUGGCACGGAUCACAUCAUUAUCAUUUCAGACAAAAGUUAGAGCUUGACUUGUCUGAUGAUAAUGAAAUACAACAGAAGACCAAUUUUGAGACUGCAUUGCACCCUCCAGGAACUGUGGUGGCUCCCAUGGCUGGUUUAGUAGUCAAGGUUCUGGUGACGGAUGGAACAAAGGUAGAAGAAGGGCAGCCUAUAUUAGUACUUGAAGCAAUGAAGAUGGAGCAUGUUGUGAAGGCUCCAUUUACUGGGCAUGUUCAUGGGCUUCAAGUGACAGCUGGCCAACAGGUUUCUGAUAGCAGUCCCCUCUUCAGUGUCAAGGGUGAAUAGAAUCUCAGAGUGAAGUUUUCCUUACAUGAGGAAACUGCUUGAACAAAUGGCGGCGUAAACAGAUCUACAGGAGUUUCCUGAGCUGUGGGUUCAAUGUUGCAAAGGUUUGGAAACGAAAACAUCUUCUUGAGCAGAUGUGAUGAGCAUGGAAUCCACGGAUUGGCAGGUCAGCCCGUUAAUGUUUUACUUUUCUAGUCUUUCUGGGUUACGAUGUCACACAAUUGCCGGCACUCUCAGAGCUCCAACAAAUACAUAGCCUGAAUUCUGAGUUUGACGAUUGGAUUGCCUAAAAGUAAUGCAAUUUUGUGAAUAAUAAAUAUGAAGAUGUUGGAUAACUUUCUAGUCAAAAUAUUGACAUAUCAAACAUGUAGCGUUUGUACCUUACCUUUUCGUGUUGUGUUAACAUGCAAAGUUGAAUUGCCUUACUUUUUAGUGAAAAAAAAGAGCUGAAUAGCCUUGCGCUAUGGUUUAUAAAUAAAUUUCUUCUCUCUUAAGAAUAAAAAAAUUACUAUUUUUUGAUA